CUAAUCAGCUAGGUGCCGGUAGUGGAUUAGCGAGUUCACACCAAGGAAAAUGGUUGCGAAAAACGGCCGUCGCUUAGACAUCGUCCAGCGAUUCUAGAUGCCUAUGAUAGAAUGCUAUGUUUCUAGGCAUUGUGUAUUCGUGUGAGAUGAGACCAAUCCCACUGUGAGAGGGGUUGAUGGCAAAAACUAUGCAUCCAGUGGCGAAAGAUCACAAAACGCAGGUGAUGGACUCAUCCUAGAUUGUGAGUUGGACCUCAUUGUCAUGGUAACACUGGAUGAUUUGGUCUGUGAUCCUGUACUUCCUUUCCUGGGUGGAGUGUCCUGUUCGGAUGAAAUACUGGACCUACUAUUGUGUCUAGCGUCAGGGUACUCCCUAUCACUGGCCUCAGAGCCGCCAUCUGAGGGGUGUCGAAUAAGUGGAUCAUCAAGCUGCCCACCAGCGUAAGAAUUUAAUGGAUGCAUUGUCUCAAAAUUAAUUUCCCUUGUACGGGUUACAAGACCCCCUUCACUUCUGCCAUCAAUGUUAUAGCUGUCCUCAAUACCCUUGAGGCGUUUGGCUGAGUAGGCCCCAUAUUUUACAUCCCUGUCGAUGUGACUAUCGUAGUCAUCUGCAACAACUUUUCCAUUUACUGUGCGAGUGUGGCGCACUUCCGUUUUUGUUAUUGUCUCAAACCGAGGAUUAUACAUGGCUAGGAUGAUCCAGUGAGUUGGCUGUUACUAUGUCAUCAGAAUUAUCUGAAAUUAAAAAAAAAAGAUAUGAAACAUCAUAAGUAAAUGACUUAAACAAAAUGACUGUAUAUAAUCUGUAUGCAUUAGGGCAAUUACAAGAAGGCACUGGUAUACUUGAGCUUGAUAACAUAUGAUAAUUUUGUACUUUCAAUCAAGUACUUUCAAUGGAAUUUGCUAAGAUGAUACAUUCCUCAUGCUACUUGUUUUUCAGUCACCGCAGAUAAAACUAUUUUAACCAUUGACUUUCAAGAUAACUUAUAUAUUGACUGUUAUCCUGAUUGCUACUAAAAAAGAAACAGGGUUUUUUUUAAUUCAAAGGGUGGUCUUAAAAGUGACUUUAAAAGUGUCACUCUGAUAAAAUUCGAUUGACAAAUGGAUGGUUUAUUCUCAGAAUUAUAGUUAAACUCAUAUUGUUGUUGCUGGGUCAAAGCCUAUCUCUUCUCAGAUUAUCAAUCAAUGCAAGCAUAGUCAGUCUGUGAUAGGGUUAACAAUCGCUGAUGCCAAACAGACAGGAAUAUAUACAAUAUAAUUCAGCAUAUUCAAGAUACAGGCUUUCUCUGACAGAGUGUCAUAGCAGUAAUAAGGCUAAAUUGCAAAUGAUUUCCUAAAUGUGCUCCAAGAAUUUGUACCAAAACAUGGAAUAGAGGGAAUGGAGUUAAUAAAACAAUAUAUGUCUUUUGACAGAUUUUUUUAUUCUGUACAAAAUCUGAAGCUAAUGAAAAAUUCACUAGGUAUCCAGACAAAACUCAGACGUAAUUAAAAUCUAUUUAGGUUAGUAUAAACAUGGUCUACUAGACGCCAUAAAUUGACAGUUUAGACUGAAGGUUGUAUGACACAACAGUCACAGAAAAUACUAGAUCUGAUAGUAUCAUUAUAUGAGUCAAAUGAAAACCAAAACCCAUGGGAACUCAUAAAAUUUCUAAUUUUCAGAGACGGUUAGGCAGCUUUUAUUGUGACAAACUCCAUCAGGCAAGCUGUCAGAUUAGGGGUUUUUUAGUCCUUAUAAAAGCACUUCGAAGGGUGUUGUAUGUCACAAUAGGAAAGAUUAAAAUGUGAUAGAAUCA
Long non-coding RNA from Nematostella vectensis (starlet sea anemone), 1793 nucleotides. RefSeq lists it as uncharacterized. The transcript has 2 exons. Lineage: Eukaryota; Metazoa; Cnidaria; Anthozoa; Actiniaria; Edwardsiidae. The record is from RefSeq and is a predicted model, not a curated record.